This 172-nucleotide ribosomal RNA is filed under the name Aeromonas veronii. RNAcentral's name for it is "partial 23S ribosomal RNA". It matches the Rfam family "Bacterial large subunit ribosomal RNA", at positions 1 to 165 of the family's 2925-position model. The record is from RNAcentral. Lineage: Bacteria; Pseudomonadati; Pseudomonadota; Gammaproteobacteria; Aeromonadales; Aeromonadaceae.
GUUGUAUGGUUAAGUGACUAAGCGUACAUGGUGGAUGCCUUGGCAGUCAGAGGCGAUGAAGGACGUACUAACCUGCGAUAAGCUGUGAGAAGUCGGUAAGAGACGCUAUUACUCACAGAUUUCCGAAUGGGGAAACCCACCCGAGAUAACUCGGGUAUCUGUUACUGAAUAC